RNAcentral lists this transfer RNA (102 nucleotides) under Candidatus Aenigmatarchaeota archaeon. RNAcentral's name for it is "tRNA-Thr". It matches the Rfam family "tRNA". Rfam says of the family: Transfer RNA (tRNA) molecules are approximately 80 nucleotides in length. Their secondary structure includes four short double-helical elements and three loops (D, anti-codon, and T loops). The record is from RNAcentral. Lineage: Archaea; Nanobdellati; Candidatus Aenigmatarchaeota.
GCCACGUUAGCUCAGUUGGUAGAGCGUUACCUUGGUAAGGUAAAAACAUGUAGAAUCUGCUGUUUCCUUAAAAGGCCCUGAGUUCGACUCUCAGACGUGGCU